GCACCGGCUAACUCCGUGCCAGCAGCCGCGGUAAUACGGAGGGUGCAAGCGUUAUCCGGAUUCACUGGGUUUAAAGGGUGCGUAGGAGGGCAGGUAAGUCAGUGGUGAAAUCUCCAAGCUUAACUUGGAAACUGCCGUUGAUACUAUCUGUCUUGAAUACCGUGGAGGUGAGCGGAAUAUGUCAUGUAGCGGUGAAAUGCUUAGAUAUGACAUAGAACACCAAUUGCGAAGGCAGCUCGCUACACGAAUAUUGACUCUGAGGCACGAAAGCGUGGGGAUCAAACAGGAUUAGAUACCCUGGUAGUCCACGCCCUAAACGAUGGAUACUCGACAUACGCGAUACACAGUGUGUGUCUGAGCGAAAGCAUUAAGUAUCCCACCUGGGAAGUACGACCGCA
This 398-nucleotide ribosomal RNA is filed under the name uncultured bacterium. Its description in RNAcentral is "bacterial SSU rRNA". It matches the Rfam family "Bacterial small subunit ribosomal RNA", at positions 490 to 890 of the family's 1533-position model. The record is from RNAcentral.